Molecule: long non-coding RNA, 304 nt
Organism: Schistocerca gregaria
Lineage: Eukaryota; Metazoa; Arthropoda; Insecta; Orthoptera; Acrididae
Exons: 4
Source: RefSeq, a predicted model, not a curated record
CUUCCAUUGGCUGAUCUUGGCAUAUGAUGUCUGGGAUGAGAGGAUUAUGACAGCUAAUUUCUUGCUCCUUCCAUUGGCUGAUCUUGGCAUAUGAUGUCUGGGAUGAGAGGAUUAUGACAGCUAAUUUCUUGCUCCUUCCAUUGGCUGAUCUUGGCAUAUGAUGUCUGGGAUGAGAGGAUUAUGACAGCUAAUUUCUUGCUCCUUCCAUUGGCUGAUCUUGGCAUAUGAUGUCUGGGAUGAGAGGUUGAUGGUUAACUUGAAAUAAUAAGUAAUGCUGGUACUUGAAAGGGUGUGGAAAAGGAGU